AUUCGUGCCUGCCGGUGGAAAAAUUAGAGCGACAUAUUAGUGCAUUGGCUCGGUGAAAUAAAUGAAGCGCUACUGGAGGCAAAUUAAAAUAUCUCCCUCAGCAAAAAUGAGACUCUCGCUCAUGAUGAAAGCAUGUUAAUAGUUUAUUCUUUGAAACAUCACCGACAUAGUCAUAUUCUAAAGCAUCAUCAACGCCAUCACCAAAUUCAAUGCCAUCAACACCAUCAGCGGCUAGUAACAAUGUAUACCACAGAUUUAUGGCGAAUUACAAGGAGGCAAAAAACAUAUACAUAUGUAGGAAUUGUAAAAUUCCUAAAAUUUUGCAAAGUUUUAAGAAAACUGCAUUUUCUUGCACCACUAUAACUGACUUCCAAUUGUUAAUAUAUAUCAAAAGAAAGCUAAAAGGAUUACCUUUCCUUUGAUUAUAAAACCAUUUAAAUCGCUGGACAUUUUUAUGCAAAUUUCGCAACUUUUGAAAUCAUCUCUAUGUAAG
This 493-nucleotide long non-coding RNA is filed under the name Rhagoletis pomonella (apple maggot). RNAcentral's name for it is "uncharacterized LOC118745134, transcript variant X2". The record is from RNAcentral. Lineage: Eukaryota; Metazoa; Arthropoda; Insecta; Diptera; Tephritidae.